UUCCCGGGCCAUAUUGAUAAUGAUAGCCUUUUUAAAAUGUUAAUCCUUUUCUUACACUAUCUCACAACCUUCACAGACAGAAAGCAUGAUUCAUUUUCAUUAUGAUAUUCAAUAUUCAAUGAGAAUAUGUAUGAUGACUGUCUUUUUCUGCAAUCUUUAUAAAUUCAAGACGACCACUGUUCUUUUGGUUUUCUUUUUCAAUUCCUG
This 207-nucleotide long non-coding RNA is filed under the name Mytilus galloprovincialis (Mediterranean mussel). Lineage: Eukaryota; Metazoa; Mollusca; Bivalvia; Mytilida; Mytilidae. The record is from RNAcentral.